Molecule: non-coding RNA, 46 nt
Organism: Schistosoma haematobium
Lineage: Eukaryota; Metazoa; Platyhelminthes; Trematoda; Strigeidida; Schistosomatidae
Source: Rfam
GCACUGCUGAGGAGUCCCACAAUAGGAUGAAACGGUGGUCCAGUAC